RNAcentral lists this long non-coding RNA (2575 nucleotides) under Cricetulus griseus (Chinese hamster). Its description in RNAcentral is "lncRNA (ENSCGRG00015042044.1)". The record is from RNAcentral. Lineage: Eukaryota; Metazoa; Chordata; Mammalia; Rodentia; Cricetidae.
GGCAAGCCUGGAGGCACACCAAUCGUAAGCCUGUGCGUACCCCUAGACACUCCCCUUACGCUGCCCUAUAAGAUCUUUUGGGAGACCCUAGGAGCCGUCUUUUUCUAGCCGUCUGCCAUGGCGGGUGGGUGAAAGACCCGAGCUAACAUGGGGUUAGCUCGUAAAACUACAAUAAAGCCUCAUGCAGUUUGCAUCAAGCUUUCGCCUCCAUUCUGUGUUUGGGGUGGCCGCCGUCCUGGGCUAAGAUUCUGGAAGCCUCAGCUUUCUGAGGGUCUAACACCAACUUGACAGGCUCUAGAAUUCCUGAGGAGAGUGCUGCCUUCAACAGACAGAUGAGAUAUCUUCAAGGCUGCUGGAAAAGCCCCAACAAGAUGAUCUCAAGGAGCUCCUAGAGGCCGUCCAAAGGUCUCCAAAGAAGAUGAUUCCAUCUGGAUUGUGGUAACACUAGCCAAUGGUUGAAACUGCCCCAUACCUCACCCGCCUCGAGGACCCCGCUGAGACUGUGGACAAGCAGGACACUGGAGAGCUCACUGCCCCUCUUUGCCUCACCAAGAUUUCCACUCAGCUAAGACACCAUCCAUGAAUCAGCUGUGGACUACAAAAGGCUCCAAAUUGCCACGAGCCCUGGACCUGCUGAAAGCUGAUGUAAACCAGUCCAGCCAAUGUGAUUGGUUACACCCUGCCUCUUCAGCUGGGUCAGCAAACCAAAUGCUUCUGAUGAAGUCCACCCCCACUCCACGCCACCCCACCCCCCAGACUGCCCGAAUCAGCAACCCUUGGACUUUGACUAGCAUUACAGUUUUCAUGGGCCCUGACAACAUCUUAAUCUCAGCUGAAAAGCAGUUACAGUAGAGAUUGUAAUUGUAUCAGGCUUUCUUUUAUGGGGCCACCAUCACAAAUCAUGACACAGAGACUUAUUGAGUUAUGAAUGCUCACUCUUAGCUUAAACUCUUUUUUUUUUUCCAUUGUUUGUUUUUGUUUUUCGAGACAGAGUUUCCCUGUGAAACAGUCCUGAUUGUCCUGGAUCUCACUUUGUAGACCCUGCCUCUGCCUCCUGAGUGCUGGGAUUAAAGGUGUGGGUUUAAGCUCAUUUCUUGUUAGCUUUUAUAACUUAACCUGUUUCUCCUCAUCUACACUUUGCCUCAGGGCUUUUUCCCUUUCUUUCUGUGUAUCUUACUUCCCUGCUUCCUCCAGUGGCUGGCUAGCUGGAGGCUGCCCAGUUCCUGACCCCAGCCAUCUCCCUUUCCUUCUCCCUCAUCCUCUUCUCUCUAGAUUCCUUCUCCUAUUUAUUCUUUCUGCCCAUCAGCCCCACCUAUCUGUCUCCUUACUAGCUAUUGGCCGUUCAGCUUUUUUACUACACCAAUCAAGUGCCUAGGCAGGCAAGGUGAAACAGCAACACAUCCUUGCCUAGUUAAAAUAAUAUUCCACAACAGCACAUUGCCCCUUAUCCAUAACAAAAGGCUGAGUCUAAAGGAACUGGGGUCCUGCUGGAAGGGACCACACCUUGUUAUCCUGACCACCUCCACUGCUGUCAAGGUAGACAGAAUCCACACCUGGAUAUAUCACCCCAGGAAGCAUGUCACAGGGGAUAACAAUCUGGCUGCAGAAAAAUGGACUGUCACCAAGGCCUGAGAAGGUUCACUAAAGAUAAGACUGAUACAGACUGUAGACUAAUAAUGUUGUUUUGUCUGACUGUUUCCUCCUCUUUCAUGGGAUAUUUGUCUAGAUUCCACUUUAAGAGCAAAUACAAACUUGUCAUAAAUGUCUCACAGCUCCUGGCCACCACUUCUUCAGGCAGACUUUCCUUCCUUCACCUCCUGGUUGAAACUGCUUGGUUUGUAAGUGCUAACAGUUUGCACCCUUGCUUGCCUCCUUGGUAGGUGCAUCAAUCCCCAAAAUUCUGUAUCUUGGUGUUCCUCUUCCCCUGGAUGUAUGUUCAUGAUAGUCCAGUAUGGAGGAAACACUGUAUACACAGACACAGGACCUUCCAGCCUCCACGUUCAAGGAAAAAACUCGAAGUUUCUCUCCUUAUCCUCCCCAUAGUAAGUUUAGGAUUGGGACCAGCUGGAACGGCUCUCAGGGCAAAAGGCACGGCAAGGGCUGAUGUCAACUACAAAACAGGGCCUCAGAUAACCCAGGAUUUAUUUGCUUUACAAGAGUCUAUUGCAAAAUUAGAAGAACAGGUCGACCCAGUGGCCGAGGGAGUCUUACAACAUGGUAGGAUGUUUGAUCUACUUUAUACACAACAAGCAGGUUACCAUAUGUCUUGUGGGAAACUUGCUGCUUCCAUGCAAAGCACCCAGGAGUUAUCAAAGAUAAUCUGGCUGAACUCCAAAACCACCUCACACAGAGGGGAAAGGCCCUACAAGGAGGAAAUAAAUGGCUCCCAUUUCUUUCUUGGGUUCUUCCUGGCUGGGAACUCUGCUGUCAGCCAUUGCGGGGCCCUUAGUGCUGCUUUUCCUGCUGGUCACUCUUGGCUCCUGCAUCAUUAAGGCCUUAACCAGAUAUAUAAGUCCAUGUGAACAAGUACCCACCCCAGAGUCAAGGAUUUGACUUAGGAUAAAGCUCAAGGGGG